GUUCCGUGAUGAGGGCACUUCUAUAAUAAUUCUUUGCACAUUUCCCAUGCCUCGUACAUAGACUCAUCAUCAAUUUGUUGGGAAGCAGUGAUCUCAUUCCUCAACUU
This 107-nucleotide small nucleolar RNA is filed under the name Gossypium hirsutum (cotton). Its description in RNAcentral is "Plant small nucleolar RNA R71". It matches the Rfam family "Plant small nucleolar RNA R71". From Rfam's summary of the family: R71 is a member of the C/D box family of snoRNAs containing the C (UGAUGA) and D (CUGA) box motifs. Multiple nearly identical copies of this snoRNA have been identified in Arabidopsis, and it is thought to function as a 2'-O-ribose methylation guide for 18S ribosomal RNA. Lineage: Eukaryota; Viridiplantae; Streptophyta; Magnoliopsida; Malvales; Malvaceae. The record is from Rfam by way of RNAcentral.